RNAcentral lists this ribosomal RNA (497 nucleotides) under uncultured bacterium. RNAcentral describes it as "partial 16S ribosomal RNA". It matches the Rfam family "Bacterial small subunit ribosomal RNA", at positions 28 to 507 of the family's 1533-position model. The record is from RNAcentral.
GAUGAACGCUGGCGGCGUGCCUAAUACAUGCCAGUCGAGCGAACAGACGAGGAGCUUGCUCCUCUGACGUUAGCGGCGGACGGGUGAGUAACACGUGGAUAACCUACCUAUAAGACUGGGAUAACUUCGGGAAACCGGAGCUAAUACCGGAUAAUAUAUUGAACCGCAUGGUUCAAUAGUGAAAGACGGUUUUGCUGUCACUUAUAGAUGGAUCCGCGCCGCAUUAGCUAGUUGGUAAGGUAACGGCUUACCAAGGCAACGAUGCGUAGCCGACCUGAGAGGGUGAUCGGCCACACUGGAACUGAGACACGGUCCAGACUCCUACGGGAGGCAGCAGUAGGGAAUCUUCCGCAAUGGGCGAAAGCCUGACGGAGCAACGCCGCGUGAGUGAUGAAGGUCUUCGGAUCGUAAAACUCUGUUAGUAGGGAAGAACAAAUGUGUAAGUAACUAUGCACGUCUUGACGGUACCUAAUCAGAAAGCCACGGCUAACUACGUG